RNAcentral lists this ribosomal RNA (253 nucleotides) under uncultured bacterium. Its description in RNAcentral is "partial 16S ribosomal RNA". It matches the Rfam family "Bacterial small subunit ribosomal RNA", at positions 524 to 776 of the family's 1533-position model. The record is from RNAcentral.
GACGUAGGAGGCGAGCGUUGUCCGGAUUCAUUGGGCGUAAAGAGCGCGCAGGCGGCUUGGUAAGUCGGAUGUGAAAACCCGAGGCUCAACCUCGGGCGUGCAUCCGAAACUGCUCGGCUAGAGGUAGGUAGGGGAGAUCGGAAUUCCUGGUGUAGCGGUGAAAUGCGCAGAUAUCAGGAGGAACACCGGUGGCGAAGGCGGGUCUCUGGGCAGUAACUGACGCUGAGGAGCGAAAGCGUGGGGAGCAAACAGG